This 453-nucleotide ribosomal RNA is filed under the name uncultured bacterium. Its description in RNAcentral is "bacterial SSU rRNA". It matches the Rfam family "Bacterial small subunit ribosomal RNA", at positions 340 to 786 of the family's 1533-position model. The record is from RNAcentral.
UACGGAAGGCAGCAGUGGGGAAUAUUGCACAAUGGGCGCAAGCCUGAUGCAGCCAUGCCGCGUGUAUGAAGAAGGCCUUCGGGUUGUAAAGUACUUUCAGUCGUGAGGAAGGUGUUAAGGUUAAUAACCUUAGCAAUUGACGUUAGCGACAGAAGAAGCACCGGCUAACUCCGUGCCAGCAGCCGCGGUAAUACGGAGGGUGCGAGCGUUAAUCGGAAUUACUGGGCGUAAAGGGCACGCAGGCGGUUAAUUAAGUUGGAUGUGAAAUCCCCGGGCUUAACCUGGGAAUGGCAUUCAAGACUGGUUAGCUAGAGUCUUGUAGAGGGGGUAGGAAUUCCAUGUGUAGCGGUGAAAUGCGUAGAGAUGUGGAGGAAUACCGGUGGCGAAGGCGGCCCCUGGACAAAGACUGACGCUCAUGUGCGAAAGCGUGGGGAGCAAACAGGAUUAGAUACC